GCCUGGGUGGCUCAGUCGGUUGAGCGUCUGACUCUUGAUUUUGGUCAGGGCGUGACCCCAGGGUUGUGGGAUUGAGCCCCACAUCAGGCU
This 90-nucleotide transfer RNA is filed under the name Felis catus (domestic cat). It matches the Rfam family "tRNA". Rfam says of the family: Transfer RNA (tRNA) molecules are approximately 80 nucleotides in length. Lineage: Eukaryota; Metazoa; Chordata; Mammalia; Carnivora; Felidae. The record is from Rfam by way of RNAcentral.